UACGUAGGUGGCGAGCGUUGUCCGGAUUUACUGGGCGUAAAGGGAGCGUAGGCGGACUUUUAAGAGAGAUGUGAAAUACUCGGGCUCAACUUGAGUGCUGCAUUUCAAACUGGAAGUCUAGAGUGCAGGAGAGGAGAAUGGAAUUCCUAGUGUAGCGGUGAAAUGCGUAGAGGUUAGGAAGAACACCAGUGGCGAAGGCGAUUCUCUGGACUGUAACUGACGCUGAGGCUCGAAAGCGUGGGGAGCAAACAGG
Molecule: ribosomal RNA, 253 nt
Filed under: uncultured bacterium
Lineage: Bacteria
Description: partial 16S ribosomal RNA
Rfam family: Bacterial small subunit ribosomal RNA
Source: RNAcentral